GGCCACGUGGCGAAGAAGCAACGCGACGGUCUGCAAAACCGUUAUGCGAGGGUGCGAAUCCCUCCGUGGCCUCCA
This 75-nucleotide transfer RNA is filed under the name Candidatus Adlerbacteria bacterium RIFCSPLOWO2_01_FULL_54_21b. Its description in RNAcentral is "tRNA-Cys". It matches the Rfam family "tRNA". Rfam says of the family: Transfer RNA (tRNA) molecules are approximately 80 nucleotides in length. Their secondary structure includes four short double-helical elements and three loops (D, anti-codon, and T loops). RNAcentral also lists the same sequence under 2 other names. The record is from RNAcentral. Lineage: Bacteria; Candidatus Adleribacteriota.